UGGGGAAUUGUUCGCAAUGGGCGCAAGCCUGACGACGCAACGCCGCGUGGAGGAUGAAGACCUUCGGGUCGUAAACUCCUUUCGAUCGAGACGAACGGCCUCCGGGUGAACAAUCCGGAGGAGUGACGGUACCGAGAGAAGAAGCCCCGGCUAACUCCGUGCCAGCAGCCGCGGUAAUACGGGGGGGGCAAGCGUUGUUCGGAAUUACUGGGCGUAAAGGGCUCGUAGGCGGCCAACUAAGUCAGACGUGAAAUCCCUCGGCUUAACCGGGGAACUGCGUCUGAUACUGGUUGGCUUGAGUUUGGGAGAGGGAUGCGGAAUUCCAGGUGUAGCGGUGAAAUGCGUAGAUAUCUGGAGGAACACCGGUGGCGAAGGCGGCAUCCUGGACCAAUACUGACGCUGAGGAGCGAAAGCCAGGGGAGCAAACGGG
This 430-nucleotide ribosomal RNA is filed under the name Bacillota bacterium. Its description in RNAcentral is "Firmicutes bacterium partial 16S ribosomal RNA". It matches the Rfam family "Bacterial small subunit ribosomal RNA", at positions 355 to 776 of the family's 1533-position model. The record is from RNAcentral. Lineage: Bacteria; Bacillati; Bacillota.